Molecule: ribosomal RNA, 433 nt
Filed under: uncultured bacterium
Lineage: Bacteria
Description: bacterial SSU rRNA
Rfam family: Bacterial small subunit ribosomal RNA
Source: RNAcentral
CGCUGGCGGAAUGCUUAACACAUGCAAGUCGCACGGGGGCUUCGGCCUUAGUGGCGGACGGGUGAGUAACGCGUAGGAAUGUGUCCGAGGAUGGGGGAUAACGUUGGGAAACUGACGCUAAUACCGCAUAUCUCCUGAGGGAGAAAGCCGUAAGGCGUCCACGGAGCAGCCUGCGUACGAUUAGCUUGUUGGUGAGGUAAAGGCUUACCAAGGCGACGAUCGUUAGCUGGUCUGAGAGGAUGAUCAGCCACACUGGAACUGAGACACGGUCCAGACUCCUACGGGAGGCAGCAGUGGGGAAUUUUCCGCAAUGGGCGAAAGCCUGACGGAGCAAUACCGCGUGAGAGAAGAAUGCCUAUGGGUUGUAAACCUCUUUUUUCAGGGAGGAAUAAAAUGACGUGUACCUGAAGAAUAAGCAUCGGCUAACUCCGUG